GUGCUCACUUCAGCAGCACAUAUGCUAAAAUUGGAACGAUACAGAGAUUAUCAUGGCCCCUGCACAAGAAUGACACACAUUCGUCAGGCAGUCCAUAUUUUU
This is a small nuclear RNA of Otolemur garnettii (small-eared galago), 102 nucleotides long. The record is from Ensembl. Lineage: Eukaryota; Metazoa; Chordata; Mammalia; Primates; Galagidae.